Molecule: small nucleolar RNA, 124 nt
Organism: Protopterus annectens (West African lungfish)
Lineage: Eukaryota; Metazoa; Chordata; Ceratodontiformes; Protopteridae
Product: small nucleolar RNA SNORA17
Exons: 1
Source: RefSeq, a predicted model, not a curated record
AUUGCACUGGAUGCGUCAGCAUGCUGUGCAUUGCACUGGAUGCGUCAGCAUGCUGUGCAUUGCACUGGAUGCGUCUGCAUGCUGUGCAUUGCACUGGAUGCGUCAGCAUGCUGUGUACUACACU